RNAcentral lists this ribosomal RNA (119 nucleotides) under Cephalotus follicularis. Lineage: Eukaryota; Viridiplantae; Streptophyta; Magnoliopsida; Oxalidales; Cephalotaceae. The record is from RNAcentral.
GGAUAGGAUAUUACAAGCACUAAUGGCCCGGAUCCCCUAAGAACUCCACAGUUAAGUGUGCUUUGGUGAGAGUAGUACUAGGACAGGUGACCUCUUGGGAAGUCCUCGUGUUGCACCCC